UCCCCUGGAGGAGGGCAUGGCAACCCACCCCAGUAUUCUUGCCUGGAAAACCCCAUGAACAGAGGAGACGGGAGGGCUAGAGUCCAUAAGGUCACAAAGAGUCAGACACGACUGAAGCGACUUAUUAAUAGUAUGUAUGCAAUCUAUUGUCGCUGACUGGGCCUCAUCCAUGCCUGUGGAAGAAAAGAGAUAAAUCAGAGCUGGCCUCUGCUUUCAAGGAUCUCCAUUAUGGCACAGAAUUGGUCAUUUGUUUUACCCGGGGUAUCUGUUUUCUGAGGGCUGGAACCCAGCCUUGGCCAUCUGUGUCUUCUCCAGUUGGCACAGCCCUAGGCACAAGGUAGAUACCAAUGAGUUUUCAAAAUGAAUAAUGACAAAGUGUCUCAAAAGGGUGGGAAGUGUUGAACACAACCUCUGCUAACUCUGUGUUGCCCAGACCAAAAGACAGCCAUGUGGCUCAGAGGUUCCCAAGGAAGUGCCUGGACUGGUCCCUUCUAGGACAGGGCUGUCACGACUCUGGAAACCCCCUUGGCCCUGGGCCUGGGACCAAAAAUCCAGACCCACAGAGAAGUCCCCGAGUCAGGCCCUACCACCCAGUUCCCACGGAGGGGACCAAGGCAGAGGCAGGAGCUGGGGGCACGCUGGGGGCACUCUGGGGGAGCUCUCAUCUGGAGUCCCAGCCUCCGUCGGGUCAGAGUUCCCUAAAGGCGGGUGAGAAGCGAGGAGGGCAGGGCUGGAGUUGGCAGGAGCCCAGGGGAGGAAGGAAACAAGAAACAAUCAAGGAAAAAUCCAUCCCAGUCCGGGGGUUGGCUCAGGCCAUAGGGCCCUGCAGGCUGACCUCCGGCCGCCACAGAGGAGGCUUCGUAGGGGCGGAUGCAGCCUGUCCCACUCCCUGCUUCCAGUAGCAGGAGAUGGGGGUGAGGGGAGCUGAGGCCCUUUCGGGGACCUUGUUUCCUCUCUCUGCCCCCUUGAUGUCCCUUCCCCUGUGAUGCCCUGUCCCCAGACCUGUCCCCAGGCUCCUGGUCCCCCUUGUUCCACCUGCCUCCCUAGGUCCCCGGUGGGAGGGGCCGAGGAGAGCUGGCUCCAGCCUGGGAGUCUUACCCUCCGGCUCGGUUCCUCCAUCAUUCUCCCCAGAUGAUCUUGGAGAAGGGGGCCUCCAACUCUAUCCCCCAGGGCCCUCAGGGGCUGGGGCUGCUGACACUGGUGAUUUCCAGGAAGAAGACGCCGGGAGGGGAAGGAAGGGCUGAGUCAGUCCCUGUGUGGCGAUUACAGGUCCUUGGGUGGGGGAAGCAGCUG
RNAcentral lists this long non-coding RNA (1293 nucleotides) under Capra hircus (goat). RNAcentral's name for it is "lncRNA (ENSCHIG00010023602.1)". The record is from RNAcentral. Lineage: Eukaryota; Metazoa; Chordata; Mammalia; Artiodactyla; Bovidae.